This 89-nucleotide non-coding RNA is filed under the name Metalysinibacillus saudimassiliensis. RNAcentral describes it as "pan". It matches the Rfam family "pan motif". Lineage: Bacteria; Bacillati; Bacillota; Bacilli; Caryophanales; Caryophanaceae. The record is from RNAcentral.
AGGACUGUAUCAAAUGCGAACAGUACCUGCUUGUUUUUUUGUUUACACAAUUAUAGUCUGCCUUGAUCCGUAGGGACAGGGACGGAAGA